CGGUAAUACGUAGGGUGCAAGCGUUAAUCGGAAUUACUGGGCGUAAAGCGUGCGCAGGCGGUUUUGUAAGUCUGAUGUGAAAUCCCCGGGCUCAACCUGGGAAUUGCAUUGGAGACUGCAAGGCUAGAAUCUGGCAGAGGGGGGUAGAAUUCCACGUGUAGCAGUGAAAUGCGUAGAGAUGUGGAGGAACACCGAUGGCGAAGGCAGCCCCCUGGGUCAAGAUUGACGCUCAUGCACGAAAGCGUGGGGAGCAAACAGGAUUAGAUACCCUGGUAGUCCACGCCCUAAACGAUGUCUACUAGUUGUCGGGUUUUAAUUAACUUGGUAACGCAGCUAACGCGUGAAGUAGACCGCCUGGGGAGUACGGUCGCAAGAUUAAA
Molecule: ribosomal RNA, 380 nt
Filed under: uncultured bacterium
Lineage: Bacteria
Description: bacterial SSU rRNA
Rfam family: Bacterial small subunit ribosomal RNA
Source: RNAcentral